RNAcentral lists this long non-coding RNA (445 nucleotides) under Homo sapiens (human). RNAcentral describes it as "non-protein coding lnc-POLI-2:1". Lineage: Eukaryota; Metazoa; Chordata; Mammalia; Primates; Hominidae. The record is from RNAcentral.
UUCACUGCUCUAUGUUCUCUGCUCAUAUAUGGCCCUGUGACCUGAAGGUAUUGGGAGAUCCCUAAGUCAAACACCAGGAUCCCUGGAAGCCAGGAAAUGAAGCUGUUGACAUUAUGUGGCCAUAGAAUUCUCUCUGGAGAAGUGGAAAUUCCUCGACCCUGCUCAGCAAAAUUUGUAUAGGGAUGUGAUGUUAGAGAACUAUGGAAACUUGUUCUCCAUUGGCCUCACUGUCUCUAAGCCAGGUUUGAUCACCUGCCUAGAGCAAAGAAUAGAGCCCUGGAAUGUGACAAGACAUGAGACAGUAGUCAAACAUUCAGCUAUGUCUUCUCAUUUGACCCAAGAUCUUUAGCCAGAGCAAUGCACAAAAGAUUCAUUAAAAAAAAAAUACCAAUACUGAGAAGGUAUGGAAACUGUGGUGGUCAUUAUAAUUUACACUUAAGGAAAG